Molecule: long non-coding RNA, 599 nt
Filed under: Mus pahari (shrew mouse)
Lineage: Eukaryota; Metazoa; Chordata; Mammalia; Rodentia; Muridae
Description: lncRNA (MGP_PahariEiJ_G0005681.1)
Source: RNAcentral
UGUGGUGGACUGACGUCUCCCGUGGUGGACUGUCCCCUCGGGCUGGAAGCCAAGACAAAUCCUUCAGACAGGGCCAGAUCAACUGUCCAGAUCACUGAUAACUGCUCUCAGGUCGUCUGUGUCUCCUGGGAGGAUCGCUGCUCCUACAGAAUUCACCACAGAUCUCGAACUUACCAUUGUCCAGUCAAUUCCCUGCUCAGCUCCCAGGUGCCCUCCCUCUUCUCAUUUCCUCUGGCAUGUCAGGCCUCCAUCACCCGGUGCACGGCUACUUCAGCAACCUCCAGUGCUCUUCCUUUUAAUCCAGCCUGUGAUCAGGAAUUACAAUGUGCCCAGCCUGCACACUGCCUGAGGCAUGGCUAUGAGCUCACCACCCUCCCUGAAGCUAAGAGUCCAUCUGACCUGGUGGUCAUCUCUUCUGAUGACCAGCUCUACCCAAGAUUUCUGCUACAAACCUCUCAAGUUUGAGGGAUACAAGAAGCACCCCCACUUCAGUCCAACUGGCCGUGAAUCCUGGAAUCCCCACGUAUCUGACAAUACUUUGAUUUUUCCAUCAGCACAAAACUGAAGGGAGAGAUAUGCAGAAUAAAUCCGUACCUGGG